AAACUUUGUAAAAAAAAAAAAAUAACUCAAAAGACAUCGACAAUUCGACAUAAACAAAGAAAAAAACAAAAGGGGGAUUAGGGUUUCUUCGAAAAGAUUAUGACCCUAGCAGUCGGGUAUUCUCUACAUGAGUUAUCAGAUUCACGAACCCAGUAUAAGAUCACAGUUUGGUAGCCGCGACUUUAUGCUCUCUCUGGUUGAAUGAUUUGCCUCCCAACAGGCCGUAUAUAGCCAACAAACAAAGUCAGAACUCUAUCACAGGUUUAUUAUUUGGAAAAGCUUGUAAUCAUGUGUGGUAGAGACCACGCCGAGCAUCUUUUUGUAAUUAUUCUAGUUAUGAGAGGGUAAAUUUAAAAAGGGACCGAAGAGAGCUGUGAAACUGACACAUCAACAUAAUGGCAGCACCGUAAAUACAUUACAAAAUAAAGGUACAAUACUCCCAUGCUGCCUCAUCUUCAUUUAAAGAUGAAGAAGCCAAGUUGGUGCCAUGAGGCAUGUGCCCUGACCUAUGGUCUUUACUGAACUGAGCUUAGAUGGUUGUUUCAAAUCCAAGAAAACCAGAAUGAGCAAGUUAUCACUUUGGAAGGGAACUAUGAAAGCUUAAACAUUUGUCAAUAAAGUUUGGUUUCCGGAUCGUAUGAUAGAAAGUGAAUUAAUGGUCAAGUUUCACAAAUUCUUUCGGCAGAGAUUUAGGUCAUCUCUGAGUUCUCUUAGGCUGCUAUACGUUUCAGUUGCAUAUGAGAUCAAGAGCAUAUCUCAAAAUGCAUGAAUUUUGUCCGCUUAGAAUGGGUAACUUUUGUUGUUUCCUUCAUUUUUAUGUGUCUUGUACUACAUUGAAAGCAUUGUAAUUCUUCUUUCUUUUGUCUA
Molecule: long non-coding RNA, 867 nt
Organism: Brassica napus (rape)
Lineage: Eukaryota; Viridiplantae; Streptophyta; Magnoliopsida; Brassicales; Brassicaceae
Exons: 4
Source: RefSeq, a predicted model, not a curated record